RNAcentral lists this ribosomal RNA (251 nucleotides) under uncultured prokaryote. RNAcentral's name for it is "partial 16S rRNA". It matches the Rfam family "Bacterial small subunit ribosomal RNA", at positions 525 to 775 of the family's 1533-position model. The record is from RNAcentral.
ACAGAGGGUGCAAACGUUGUUCGGAAUUACUGGGCGUAAAGCGCGUGUAGGUGGCUACGCAAGUCGGGUGUGAAAACCCACGGCUCAACCGUGGAAGUGCACUCGAAACUGCGCGGCUAGAGUCCUGGAGAGGAAGGUGGAAUACUUGGUGUAGAGGUGAAAUUCGUAGAUAUCAGGUAGAACACCGGUGGCGAAGGCGGCCUUCUGGACAGUGACUGACACUGAGACGCGAAAGCGUGGGGAGCAAACAG